Molecule: transfer RNA, 73 nt
Filed under: Ameiurus melas (black bullhead)
Lineage: Eukaryota; Metazoa; Chordata; Actinopteri; Siluriformes; Ictaluridae
Rfam family: tRNA
About the family: Transfer RNA (tRNA) molecules are approximately 80 nucleotides in length.
Source: Rfam by way of RNAcentral
GUUUCUGUGAUGUAGUGGCUAUCAUGUUUGCCUUACAUGCAAAAGGUUCCUGGUUUGAGACCAGGCAGAAACA